GGUUUGGCACCUCGAUGUCGGCUCAUCGCAUCCUGGAGCUGUAGCAGGUUCCAAGGGUUCGGCUGUUCGCCGAUUAAAGUGGUACGUGAGCUGGGUUUAGAACGUCGCGAGACAGUUCGGUCCCUAUCUGCCAUGGUCGCAGGAGAUUUGCGGGGGGCUGUCCUUAGUACGAGAGGACCGGGAUGGACGAACCUCUAGUGUACCAGUUGUCGCGCCAGCGGCAGCGCUGGGUAGCUACGUUCGGAAGGGAGAAACGCUGAAAGCAUCUAAGCGUGAAACCCUCCCCAAGAUGAGAUCUCCCGAGCCGUAAGGCUCCUGAAGGCUCCUGGAAGAUUACCAGGUGAUAGGCCAGGUGUGUAAGGCCAGCGAUGGUCUCAGCUAACUGGUACUAAUCAGCCGUGAGGCUUGACCUUUUUAUU
RNAcentral lists this ribosomal RNA (419 nucleotides) under Acidobacteriota bacterium. Its description in RNAcentral is "bacterial LSU rRNA". It matches the Rfam family "Bacterial large subunit ribosomal RNA", at positions 2515 to 2925 of the family's 2925-position model. Lineage: Bacteria; Pseudomonadati; Acidobacteriota. The record is from RNAcentral.